GAUGAACGCUAGCUACAGGCUUAACACAUGCAAGUCGAGGGGAAACGACAUCGAAAGCUUGCUUUUGAUGGGCGUCGACCGGCGCACGGGUGAGUAACGCGUAUCCAACCUGCCCAUCACUUGGGAAUAACCUUGCGAAAGUAAGACUAAUACCCAAUGAUAUCCCACGAAGGCAUCGGAAUGGGAUUAAAGAUUUAUCGGUGAUGGAUGGGGAUGCGUCUGAUUAGCUUGUUGGCGGGGUAACGGCCCACCAAGGCAACGAUCAGUAGGGGUUCUGAGAGGAAGGUCCCCCACAUUGGAACUGAGACACGGUCCAAACUCCUACGGGAGGCAGCAGUGAGGAAUAUUGGUCAAUGGGCGAGAGCCUGAACCAGCCAAGUAGCGUGCAGGAAGACGGCCCUAUGGGUUGUAAACUGCUUUUAUAAGGGAAUAAAGUGGGUAACGUGUGACUUUUUGCAUGUACCUUAUGAAUAAGGACCGGCUAAUUCCGUG
Molecule: ribosomal RNA, 492 nt
Filed under: uncultured bacterium
Lineage: Bacteria
Description: partial 16S ribosomal RNA
Rfam family: Bacterial small subunit ribosomal RNA
Source: RNAcentral